UCAUCUCUUCAAUGAUUUCGACUAUUUCCUUCUUCAGUUUUCUGGUCUGGACUCUGGAAUGAGCAUUUCAUCUUUAGAUGCGGCAGUUGAAGAGUGGGUUUUUUAAAUUAGAACCCAGGAUUAUCGUUCAUUUUCGUGGUUGAUUUCUCUAACUCGAAAAUCAGGAACAAUAUCGAGGAUGGUCAAGAACAUAAGAACUUAUGUGACGGAAGAGAAGAGAGCUAAGGCAUCUGCUACUGCAAAGACAAUGAAUGAAUUGAUGUUCAGAAGUAUGGGAAGACCAUUGACGGUGUUUCUCUUAGCAUCAUUGUAGUUACCACCGGGUACAGUAAAAGCUGCAGCAAAUGCUACUGUGGAGAUGAGGGUUGCUGCUAGCAUACAUGAAUGUGAGGAGAGGAAACUUAAAUGAGUACAGCAGGAUGAUGGGAGUAGGAGAAACGAAUGGAGAUUGAAGAAUAUAAAGAACAGAAGAGAACAAUAUUAUAAGAUUCCAAACUCCACUAAGAUAGCAAAUUGGAGUCUAAAGGGUAGUCGAGAGAAUGAGAAGCCAAAAAGUAAAGAUGCAGUACAAUCCACUGAGAUCUCUUGGAGCAAUACGCGAAGCCUGUUCAGAAGGUCAUCUUUUCUGGAUGAAGCAGGGGAGGGUAGUUGGAGUCAUCUGAAAAAGUCUACAAGGUUUAUCUGGAUACCUAUUUUUGAAAGAACAGGAAACCCAGUCCCAGAUAUGGAUUAUAAUUUUUGAACAUUUAAACUUUGAAGAACUCCCUAUAUGUGCUUAUGUUGGUCUUGUCCAAAAAAUAGUAGUUUGUCAAAUUCAUGCCUACUUGGAGGCAGUGAUUAAAGCUGUAAAACUGCUCAAGCAAACUUACUGAUAAAGCAGCUGCCCAGUCGAGAAGGGAAAAAGUUUUGCUCUAGCGCUGCUAGAUCAUUUAUGAUCUAGCAGCACCAGUGUCUAGCACUUGGCAUCUUAUGAUGUCAGCAAACCACUUUUUAAACCAUGGUUAGGUAUGCU
Molecule: long non-coding RNA, 1012 nt
Organism: Papaver somniferum (opium poppy)
Lineage: Eukaryota; Viridiplantae; Streptophyta; Magnoliopsida; Ranunculales; Papaveraceae
Exons: 4
Source: RefSeq, a predicted model, not a curated record